RNAcentral lists this ribosomal RNA (483 nucleotides) under uncultured bacterium. Its description in RNAcentral is "partial 16S ribosomal RNA". It matches the Rfam family "Bacterial small subunit ribosomal RNA", at positions 28 to 507 of the family's 1533-position model. The record is from RNAcentral.
GACGAACGCUGGCGGUGUGCUUAACACAUGCAAGUCGAACGCUGAAGCUCAGCUUUUGUUGGGUGGAUGAGUGGCGAACGGGUGAGUAACACGUGAGUAACCUGCCUCCUUCUUUGGGAUAACGCCCGGAAACGGGUGCUAAUACUGGAUAUUCACUGGUCUUCGCAUGGGGGUUGGUGGAAAGGGUUUUUCUGGUGGGGGAUGGGCUCGCGGCCUAUCAGCUUGUUGGUGGGGUGAUGGGCUACCAAGGCUUUGACGGGUAGCCGGCCUGAGAGGGUGACCGGUCACAUUGGGACUGAGAUACGGCCCAGACUCCUACGGGAGGCAGCAGUGGGGAAUAUGGCACAAUGGGCGCAAGCCUGAUGCAGCGACGCCGCGUGAGGGAUGGAGGCCUUCGGGUUGUGAACCUCUUUCGCUCAUGGUCAAGCCGCAACAAUGGUUGUGGUGAGGGUAGUGGGUAAAGAAGCGCCGGCUAACUACGUG